This 372-nucleotide ribosomal RNA is filed under the name uncultured organism. Its description in RNAcentral is "partial 16S ribosomal RNA". It matches the Rfam family "Bacterial small subunit ribosomal RNA", at positions 527 to 896 of the family's 1533-position model. The record is from RNAcentral.
GUAGGUGGCAAGCGUUGUCCGGAAUUAUUGGGCGUAAAGCGCGCGCAGGCGGUUCUUUAAGUCUGAUGUGAAAGCCCACGGGCUCAACUGUGGAGGGUCAUUGGAAACUGGAGAACUUGAGUACAGAAGAGGAAAGCGGAAUUCCACGUGUAGCGGUGAAAUGCGUAGAGAUGUGGAGGAACACCAGUGGCGAAGGCGGCUUUCUGGUCUGUAACUGACGCUGAGGCGCGAAAGCGUGGGGAGCAAACAGGAUUAGAUACCCUGGUAGUCCACGCCGUAAACGAUGAGUGCUAAGUGUUAGGGGGUUUCCGCCCCUUAGUGCUGCAGCUAACGCAUUAAGCACUCCGCCUGGGGAGUACGGCCGCAAGGCUG